This is a ribosomal RNA of Ictidomys tridecemlineatus (thirteen-lined ground squirrel), 102 nucleotides long. The record is from Ensembl. NCBI's taxonomy places the organism in Eukaryota, Metazoa, Chordata, Mammalia, Rodentia, Sciuridae.
GUCUCCUGCCAUACCACCCUGAACAUGGACUCUCAUCUGAUCCCAGAAGCUAAGCAGGGUCCUGGUUAGUAAAUGGGUGGAAGAACAUGGAAGUGGAAGGUG